This is a long non-coding RNA of Athalia rosae (coleseed sawfly), 1184 nucleotides long. RefSeq lists it as uncharacterized. Lineage: Eukaryota; Metazoa; Arthropoda; Insecta; Hymenoptera; Athaliidae. The record is from RefSeq and is a predicted model, not a curated record. The transcript is spliced from 2 exons.
AAUUCAAUUGAUUGUUGACCUCUGAUAGUUUUUCUCCAAACUUAAUAAUGUUCAAUGAUUGGACAGUAGUAAAUUAUCAUAAAAUAAUACCUGUCACAUCUCUUUCUUGUGCCCCAGCAAAAGUCCGGCCGGAAUUCCGUCGUUUGGAUUGCCUGCGUUCUUCGGCUCUAGCACGUAACACAGCUGGAUCCUGCACAAACUGUGUUCCUUCAUUAUUUAUGCUGGUUCUUGCAACGUCUUGUUCUUCGCUAUCUUCGUCUUCUGAUGCAGCUUGGAGUUUGUUUCGGGAUUGUAAAACCUGAUAUGAAAAAAUGAUUUCAUAGAAGCAAGUGCAGUUUUAAAAUAUUUUGCUCUGAUGUGGAUUACCAUGGGGUCGGGUGGUAUGUGAGGUAAUGUUGGAUCGAGUUCCUUGAUAUCGGGUGGUAAGGAAUCCUCUAAGAUAGCAUUUAUCACAGAUGCGCUAUCAUUACUGUAAUGCUUCAAGCACUUCUAUGAGAAAAUUAUGAAGGGAUUAAAUAUAACCAGCUUGUGACAGUGCAGUUUUCAUAGCUUGGGAAGGUAAAAUAUUUCAGUAUUAUUUUACCACAACACUAAGAUCACUAACUUCGAUAUAUCCCUCGCCAAGAUGUGGUAGAAUAUCUUUAACUUCAGUUAUGAGGGAAGCAUUAUCCGCACCGCCUUCAAGACUAUGAAGUUCCUCGGUGUAAAAGGGACUCUUACUAAUCGAUGGAACAUUGCUUUGUGCACCGCUUGGACCAGCCAUAUUUUUCUAAAUAUAAAAUCAAAUUAUUCAAAAUUGGAACAUCUUUGCUCUGACCUUACUUACAUAAUCAUUGACUUCCAUGGGAAAAGCAUUCUUUGAAUUAAUUUUUUCAGCAAUUUGGCUUAUUUGACUCAUAUCAUUGAUUGAUGAAUAUAAUGACUGUAGAAUGAAAUCACAUUUCAUUGUAUCACUGAGAGUAUAUCGGUGAGUAGUCAAGGAAUCACAUUCUAGAAAAGUUUGUUCAAAUGCAUGUUUAUAAACGAUAAACAAUGGAUGUUAUUAAAUGAUGUCCAGCUAGAAGGAUACACUUCAGGGCAAAUGGAUGUUAAAACAUCCAGGUCCAUGUCAAUGGGAUACAUUUGAUGAUAAUCAAUAAUGAACUCUUUCUCAGAUAGCGCAUCUAAUAAAACACCAAGAUAGC